RNAcentral lists this ribosomal RNA (473 nucleotides) under bacterium 1911-S3-05-2. Its description in RNAcentral is "bacterial SSU rRNA". It matches the Rfam family "Bacterial small subunit ribosomal RNA", at positions 59 to 512 of the family's 1533-position model. The record is from RNAcentral.
CAGUCGAGCGGAACGAGUUAUCUGAACCUUCGGGGGACGAUAACGGCGUCGAGCGGCGGACGGGUGAGUAAUGCCUAGGAAAUUGCCCUGAUGUGGGGGAUAACCAUUGGAAACGAUGGCUAAUACCGCAUGAUGCCUACGGGCCAAAGAGGGGGACCUUCGGGCCUCUCGCGUCAGGAUAUGCCUAGGUGGGAUUAGCUAGUUGGUGAGGUAAGGGCUCACCAAGGCGACGAUCCCUAGCUGGUCUGAGAGGAUGAUCAGCCACACUGGAACUGAGACACGGUCCAGACUCCUACGGGAGGCAGCAGUGGGGAAUAUUGCACAAUGGGCGCAAGCCUGAUGCAGCCAUGCCGCGUGUAUGAAGAAGGCCUUCGGGUUGUAAAGUACUUUCAGUCGUGAGGAAGGCGUUGUCGUUAAUAGCUGCAUCGUUUGACGUUAGCGACAGAAGAAGCACCGGCUAACUCCGUGCCAGC